CCUACGGGAGGCAGCAGUGGGGAAUUUUGGACAAUGGGCGCAAGCCUGAUCCAGCAAUGCCGCGUGAGUGAAGAAGGCCUUCGGGUUGUAAAGCUCUUUUGUCAGGGAAGAAACGGUGGUUCCUAAUACGGACUACUAAUGACGGUACCUGAAGAAUAAGCACCGGCUAACUACGUGCCAGCAGCCGCGGUAAUACGUAGGGUGCAAGCGUUAAUCGGAAUUACUGGGCGUAAAGCGUGCGCAGGCGGUUAUAUAAGUCAGAUGUGAAAUCCCCGGGCUCAACCUGGGAACUGCAUUUGAGACUGUAUGGCUAGAGUGUGUCAGAGGGGGGUAGAAUUCCACGUGUAGCAGUGAAAUGCGUAGAUAUGUGGAGGAAUACCGAUGGCGAAGGCAGCCCCCUGGGAUAACACUGACGCUCAUGCACGAAAGCGUGGGGAGCAAACAGGAUUAGAUACCCUGGUAGUCCACGCCCUAAACGAUGUCUACUAGUUGUCGGGACUUAAUUGUCUUGGUAACGCAGCUAACGCGUGAAGUAGACCGCCUGGGGAGUACGGUCGCAAGAUUAAAACGUCAAAGGAAUUGACGG
RNAcentral lists this ribosomal RNA (586 nucleotides) under uncultured bacterium. RNAcentral describes it as "bacterial SSU rRNA". It matches the Rfam family "Bacterial small subunit ribosomal RNA", at positions 338 to 916 of the family's 1533-position model. The record is from RNAcentral.